GAGAGCGUGGUGUAACUGGAUAACACAUCAGUCUACGAAACUGGGAAGUGAAGGUUCGAGUCCUUCCGUUCUCG
Molecule: transfer RNA, 74 nt
Filed under: Oscillatoria sp. FACHB-1406
Lineage: Bacteria; Bacillati; Cyanobacteriota; Cyanophyceae; Oscillatoriales; Oscillatoriaceae
Rfam family: tRNA
About the family: Transfer RNA (tRNA) molecules are approximately 80 nucleotides in length.
Source: Rfam by way of RNAcentral